RNAcentral lists this long non-coding RNA (643 nucleotides) under Marmota monax (woodchuck). The record is from RNAcentral. Lineage: Eukaryota; Metazoa; Chordata; Mammalia; Rodentia; Sciuridae.
CCUAUGUAAUUUUUUUCCAGUACUGGGGAUUGAACCCCCUAGGGUGCUCUAUCACUGAGCUACAUCCCCAGCACUUUUAAAAUUCUGAGACAGGAGCUUGCUAAAUUGCCCACACUGCCCUUGAACUUGAGAUCCUCUUGCCUCAUCCUUCCAGAUAGCUGGGAUUACUGGCCAGGCUACCAUGCUGGCUUUGUUUAGCCUUUAAACCCUGUCAAUCAGGUGUCACUACCAUCAAUUUAUAGAUGAGGAAAUUGAGGCCUAGAGAUUAAGACCCUUACCCAAGAACACAUGGCUCAUGCUGGCAGAGCCAGGGCUCAAAUUCAAGGUCAACUAAGUCAGCCUGUCUUACCAGCAGGGAUCUCAGUAACUCACUUCCUUUUAGCAGAUUCUGUUUAAGUUUAAAGCUAGCAACUCAUUGGGUCAGAAAUCUCACCUGCUUAAUGUUAAUUACAACUCUUACCACAAAUCUCUGAGGAACAAGUUUUGGGAGUGAAGAAAUAUAGGUCGUUUACUAUAAACCAAGGAUUUCUUAUGGACACAUUAAGUAAUGCUGACCUGAAGGCCAGUUCAAGCAGUUCCAUCAUGGAAGGUCAAGUUGGAUCACAAGGUGUCAGGAUUAACUGGCAAGAACACUGCCCGCUGG